Molecule: ribosomal RNA, 425 nt
Filed under: uncultured prokaryote
Description: bacterial SSU rRNA
Rfam family: Bacterial small subunit ribosomal RNA
Source: RNAcentral
UGGGGAAUCUUGCGCAAUGGGCGAAAGCCUGACGCAGCAACGCCGCGUGGGGGAUGAAGGCUCUCGGGUCGUAAACCCCUUUCAGCAGGGACGAAACUGACGGUACCUGCAGAAGAAGCCCCGGCCAACUACGUGCCAGCAGCCGCGGUAACACGUAGGGUGCAAGCGUUGUCCGGAAUUACUGGGCGUAAAGAGCUCGUAGGCGGUUCGGUAAGUCAGAUGUGAAAACUCUGGGCUCAACCCAGAGAUGCCAUCUGAUACUGCUGUGUCUGGAGUCCGGUAGAGGAGCGUGGAAUUCCUGGUGUAGCGGUGAAAUGCGCAGAUAUCAGGAGGAACACCAACGGCGAAGGCAGCGCUCUGGGCCGGUACUGACGCUGAGGAGCGAAAGCAUGGGGAGCAAACAGGAUUAGAUACCCGGGUAGUCC